UCUCCCGUAGCACAACGGUAGUGCACGUGGUUGUUACCCAUAUGCAGAUGUUGGUUCGAAUCCAGCCGGGAGAGC
This 75-nucleotide transfer RNA is filed under the name Streptomyces phage RosePharie. Its description in RNAcentral is "tRNA-Asn". It matches the Rfam family "tRNA". From Rfam's summary of the family: Transfer RNA (tRNA) molecules are approximately 80 nucleotides in length. Their secondary structure includes four short double-helical elements and three loops (D, anti-codon, and T loops). Further hydrogen bonds mediate the characteristic L-shaped molecular structure. tRNAs have two regions of fundamental functional importance: the anti-codon, which is responsible for specific mRNA codon recognition, and the 3' end, to which the tRNAs corresponding amino acid is attached (by aminoacyl-tRNA synthetases). tRNAs cope with the degeneracy of the genetic code in two manners: having more than one tRNA (with a specific anti-codon) for a particular amino acid; and 'wobble' base-pairing, i.e. permitting non-standard base-pairing at the 3rd anti-codon position. Lineage: Duplodnaviria; Heunggongvirae; Uroviricota; Caudoviricetes. The record is from RNAcentral.